This 493-nucleotide long non-coding RNA is filed under the name Mustela putorius furo (domestic ferret). RNAcentral's name for it is "lncRNA (ENSMPUG00000024543.1)". Lineage: Eukaryota; Metazoa; Chordata; Mammalia; Carnivora; Mustelidae. The record is from RNAcentral.
GGAAAGUUGUUUUUUUUUUUUUUUCCCCUUUUUUAUGCUCUGUGUGUUAUGUGUCAAGGUUUUAGAUGUGAGUCCUUCAAAAUUGUCAGACUUCAUUUCCCUCCAGCUGUUUUGGAGCUGAUUUUCCAACUUCUUCCACAAAAAACAACAUUUCUGGACAGGGCAGUGUGGAGAAAUCCUAAGAGAAAUAGCAUAAGAGCAUUUUUGGAAUAUAUCCCGGAAAAGAUAACUUUCUACACAUCUGUAGAGAUUCGCCUGGUUAAGACUUGGAGGACAUAAGCAUAACAGGCUAAAGGAAUCCAGUCCCUGUGCGUGUGCUUCCUGUUCCUGGGAGGAACUGUGCUCAGAAAGCAGGUUUGUGUAAGUCAGAAAAGGUGGAAGGUUUGGGGGAGGGGUGGGGCGUGUGUGGGGGGGUGUCUUUUAUAAAACCAAAACCAGGUAAGAGAACAAUGCAGGAAAAUGGUCUCAAACAAUUUACUUAGAUCCUACGGGA